UACGUAGGGGGCUAGCGUUGUCCGGAAUCAUUGGGCGUAAAGCGCGUGUAGGCGGUCCGGUAAGUCCGCUGUGAAAGUCGGGGGCUCAACCCUCGGAUGCCGGUGGAUACUGUCGGGCUUGAGUACGGAAGAGGCGAGUGGAAUUCCUGGUGUAGCGGUGAAAUGCGCAGAUAUCAGGAGGAACACCCGUGGCUAAGGCGGCUCUCUAGUACGGUACUGACGCUGAGACGCGAAAGCGUGGGGAGCGAACAGG
RNAcentral lists this ribosomal RNA (253 nucleotides) under uncultured bacterium. RNAcentral describes it as "partial 16S ribosomal RNA". It matches the Rfam family "Bacterial small subunit ribosomal RNA", at positions 524 to 776 of the family's 1533-position model. The record is from RNAcentral.